RNAcentral lists this transfer RNA (73 nucleotides) under Stegodyphus mimosarum. It matches the Rfam family "tRNA". Rfam says of the family: Transfer RNA (tRNA) molecules are approximately 80 nucleotides in length. Their secondary structure includes four short double-helical elements and three loops (D, anti-codon, and T loops). Further hydrogen bonds mediate the characteristic L-shaped molecular structure. tRNAs have two regions of fundamental functional importance: the anti-codon, which is responsible for specific mRNA codon recognition, and the 3' end, to which the tRNAs corresponding amino acid is attached (by aminoacyl-tRNA synthetases). tRNAs cope with the degeneracy of the genetic code in two manners: having more than one tRNA (with a specific anti-codon) for a particular amino acid; and 'wobble' base-pairing, i.e. permitting non-standard base-pairing at the 3rd anti-codon position. The record is from Rfam by way of RNAcentral. Lineage: Eukaryota; Metazoa; Arthropoda; Arachnida; Araneae; Eresidae.
GCCUUCAUGGUGCAAUGGUCAGAACGUUCGACGCAUAACCGAGAGGUCCGUGGUUCGAUUCCCAGCGAAGGCG